This 58-nucleotide microRNA precursor is filed under the name Mus musculus (house mouse). RNAcentral describes it as "Mmu-Mir-574_pre stem-loop". The record is from RNAcentral. Lineage: Eukaryota; Metazoa; Chordata; Mammalia; Rodentia; Muridae.
UGAGUGUGUGUGUGUGAGUGUGUGUCGCUCCAAGUCCACGCUCAUGCACACACCCACA